AGUCGCGGAAGCGUGGCGGGCCGGCUGGGAUUGGGGCGGGAUUGAGGGUGACAGCUGAGCGUUUAAAGGGCCGGGGUCAGUUGACGAAUCCAGCCCGCGUCUAGUCCUGGGGGGCCAGGGUCUCUGCUGCCGCGAGGGAGAGAUGACUGCGGAGCGACCCGGCACAGUGCCCCUGGGCAGACCCGGGAGACCGCGAAUGCUGGGAUCAUGGGGAGUCUGUAGGGUUCAGGUGUUUGCCGCGAUCUUCCUGCUGCUGUUGUCUUCAGCAGGAGUCGGGGCCAGGGCAAAGGACGACUUCAGUCUGGUUCGUCCGCUUGUGACCAUGGAGCAACUGCUGUGGGUGAGCGGGAAGCAGAUCGGCUCUGUGGACACCUUCCGCAUCCCGCUCAUCACCACCACUCCUCGGGGCACUCUCCUUGCCUUUGCUGAGGCCAGGAAAAUGUCAGCAUCGGAUAAAGGAGCUAAGUUCAUUGCUCUGCGGAGGUCCACGGACCAGGGCAGCACAUGGUCUCCAACAGCUUUCAUUGUGGACGAUGGGGAGAGCCCAGAUGGGCUGAACUUGGGGGCAGUGGUGAGCGAUACAACAACAGGAGUGGUCUUCCUUUUCUACUCCCUCUGUGCUCACAAGGCUGGCUGCCAGGUGGCCUCCACCAUGCUGGUGUGGAGCAAGGAUGACGGCAUUUCCUGGAGUUCGCCUCGGAACCUCUCCUUGGACAUAGGCACUGAGAUGUUUGCCCCCGGACCGGGCUCUGGCAUUCAGAAACAGCGGGAGCCUCGGAAGGGCCGGCUCAUUGUGUGUGGCCACGGGACGCUGGAGCGGGACGGGGUCUUCUGCCUCCUCAGCGAUGACCGCGGCGCCUCCUGGCACUAUGGGAGUGGGGUCAGCGGCAUCCCCUAUGGCCAGCCCAAGCGGGAAAAUGAUUUCAGCCCCGACGAGUGCCAGCCCUUUGAGCUCCCCGAUGGCUCAGUGGUCAUCAAUGCCCGGAACCAGAACAACUACCACUGCCGCUGCCGAAUCAUCCUCCGCAGCUAUGAUGCCUGUGAUACUCUGAGGCCCCGUGAUGUGACCUUUGACCCUGAGCUCGUGGACCCUGUGGUAGCCGCAGGAGCUGUGGCCACCAACUCCGGCAUUGUCUUCUUCUCCAACCCAGCCCAUCCAGAGUUCCGAGUGAACCUGACCCUGCGCUGGAGCUUCAGCAAUGGCACCUCAUGGCAGAAGGAGACGGUUCAGCUGUGGCCGGGGCCCAGUGGCUACUCCUCACUGGCAACCCUGGAGGGCAGUGUGGGCGGGGAGGACCAGGCCCCUCAACUCUAUGUCCUGUAUGAGAAAGGCCGGAAACAGUACAUAGAGAGCAUCUCCCUGGCCAAAGUCAGCGUCUAUGGGACACUCUGAGCUGUACACCUGCCAAGGGGAUAGAAGGCCCUGGACUCAGCCUCAGGACCAUGGGUCUGUAGAGGGUCUACUGGAGGAGCCUAGAAGACGGUUCCACCUUCCUUUAGAGUCUAGCGUUUUGCAAAAUCAACUUCUCUUUGACAGGGAAAUCAUUCCUUAGGACUAAAAACCUGGCUUCUCCCACAUAGGAAGAGCUGCCCACACGUGGGAGCACUUCUCUUCCACAUUGCUGGGUCUGCCCUCUCAGGGCAAUGAUUGGUCCUUUUCUUGGACAGGGCUAGGUGGGCCUGUAGCAUUAAAUAAAUGUGAACUCAGGGAAUUGGGGAAGGCUUACCUCUUUGGGGUAAGAUACUGGCUUUGGAGAGAGUUGGUGAAAGUUCCAGAAGGGCAGGACAUUUGGUUUCAAGGUAAGGAACGAGGUGCACCACCCACUUUGACUAUGUAUGAAUCAAAAUGUUUAUAACUUAACGUUCUUAAUGAAGGAGAAUGAAUAUUUGCAGAGUCUCUGUGGUUCUGUCAGUGCACAUCUUCAUGUCUGUUUUCCUCGUGCACACUUGUGGGACUGGGAGUGAGUUUUGGGGAGGAAGCUGGUGUGCUUAUUGCCUGUGAAAAUCUGUGACUUUGGCAAAUCAGAUCCUCCUUUCUUUUUCGCAUUCCUUCUUAUCACAGAAAUACAACUUGCUCUUAACAAGUGUAAUGAGGGGAAGGAGGAGGAGCCUCAUAAGAUAAUUAAAAACUGGCUGUUUUGUAUUUCUAAGGUGGGGUGAGAUACUGUCCUCCAUGAAACAGGGAGCAGGUGUGUUAAAUGCAGAUGAGAAGCCUCUCCCAGGCCAGCCUGGCAGAGAAAUGAGCACUGUGGCAAUUAUGUGACACAACAACAUCUCAUCCUAAAGGAGAUGCUGUGAAAAGAACAGCUGAGUGGGACAGCCACAGCUUUUCUCCAUAUGGAAAGAAAAUGCAAUGCCCGGAUGAGACGAAGAAUGUCAGCAAAUAAGUGUAGCAAGAAUAAUCAAAGUGGAAAAUCAUCAUUUUGCAAACUUGAGUGAAAAUUCCCAUUUGAAAGGUGCCCUCCCUGAACCAGGAGUACAAGAAGUUGGCGACCAAGAGAAUUCUAUACAAACAGAACUUGUUGGGAAUUCCCUGGUGGUCCAGUGGUUAGGACUCAGCGCUUUCACUGCCAUGGGCCCAGGUUCAAUCCCUGGUUGGGAAACUAAGAUCCCACCAAAAAAAAAAAAAAAAACACAGAGCUUGUUAAAAGUAAUUCUUACCUUCUUUAGCCAACCCCCAUAGUUUAGACACUUUUCCACAAUUGUCUCUUUUGUUCAACCUUACGUAAAAGCAAGUAUGCCAUGUCUUUGGGUUUUCAUUUCUUUAUGAAGUCUCAUGUCAUGUAAAACUUAAAUAAAUGUGUAUGCCUUUCUCCUGUUAAUCUGUCUUUGUCAGGUUGAUUUUCAAACCCAGCCAGGGACCCUAAGAGGGUCAAGGAAAACUAUUUCCUCCCCUACACAGGCAAAGAUCAUCAGUGGAUGCCAAAAUCAUUAGGUUAAGGUUGAUGGAGACUGGAUAUUCAUUCACAAGAUGCUGAAACCAAGGGUAGUCAGCCAUUAGCCAUUAAUAAAUAAUAAACUGUAACCUGCCUUCACUGAUCAAGCUCACUCCAUUUUUACAAAAAACUUGCAUGUCCUCUGAGCAUCACAUAGCCUAAACAGUGUUUGCCCAAAUUGUUUUUUUGAGAUUUGGAGUUGUCUGUGUCCAGUUCAAGAUAGAACCAGUUAAGACUGGUUAAGACCACUGACCUUCCAUCUGGGCAUGCAGAGUGUCUGGGCACAGAGUGUCUGCUCCGUGACAUUUUGACAUCAGAAGGACAAAAAAUUCACCCUCAGCGCAUACUAACACAGCCAUUUUCUGAACAUAGGUCCCAAGAAGAAACCUGUAGCUUAGUUGUGUCUGUGCAGAACGUUGAUUGAGCACCUUUCUCUUAUCUCUAAUUACCUUUCCCCGCACCUCAGCUUUAUCCUAUGAAUACCCCAAGCCCCUUGCCUUUUUGGGAAGAAAAUUUGAGACUUGUUCUCUCAUCCCGUCAGUUGGCUGCCUUGUGGAUAAACUGUCUGCUGCAAACCUAGCGUUUGGCUUGCUGCGCAUCAGGCAAACAAACCUGGUUUGGUAACAGUGCCAAAGAAUUAACCCAUCUUGCCACUCACAAGGGUGAAAAGCACCUCUACAAUGAAGAGAUCCUGGGGGUCACUACUGUAACCGGGCGAUCAAACUAAGGUCAAGAAUAAAAAAAAAAAAAAAAAAAGAAUAAUGGAACCAGGGUGGGAGGGAGAUGCAAGAGGGAGGAGAUAUGGGGAUAUAUGCAUAUGUUUAGCUGAUUCACUUUGUUAUAAAGCAGAAACUAACACACCAUUGUAAAGCAAUUAUACUCCAAUAAAGAUGUUAAAAGUUAAAAAUAAAAAAGAAUAAUGGAACAAAUAGACUUUAUAAUCCCCCUGACACAAGGCCCUGUGAAGUAUAUAGCACGUGGUAGACUGAAAAAAUGAUCCCCUAAAAGAUAUCCAUGCUCUAACGCCUGGAACCUGUGAAGGCUAUCUUAUACAGGGAUAAAGAGGGUCUUUACAGAUUGAUUAAAUCAAGGGUCUUGCGAUGGGGAGAUAAUUCUGGAUUAUCUGGGAGGGCUCUAAAUGAAAUUGCAUAUAUCGUUAUAAGAGGGAGGCAGAAGAGGAUGCAAUACACACAAGUGAAGAGGAGGAGGCAGCAUGACACAGAGGCAGAGAUUGGAGUGAUGUGGCCAUGAGCCAAGUUAUGCCAGCAGCCACCAGACGCUGGAAGAGACAAGGAACAGAUUCUCCCAUAGUGUCUCUGGAGGGGGCAAGGCCCUGUGGACACCUUGAUUUUUGCCCAGUGAAACUGUUUUGAACUUCUGGCCUCCAGCAUUGUGAAGGAAUAAAUAUCUGUUGCUUUAAACCACCAAGUUUGUGGUAAUUUGUUACAGCAGCCAUACAUGGUGUCGUUCAUGAAGUAUUCUUGCCCAAACCAUGUAAUCAGAAUCUAAUUAGGUCUUUAAGGGAAUUCCCUGGUGGUCCAGUGGUUUGAUCCCUGGUUGGGGAGCUAAGAUCCCGCAGGCUGUGUGGUGCAGCCAAAAAAAAAAAAAAAUCUAAUUAGUCCUUUAAGUAUAACUUCCAGGUUAAAGAAAAUGCAGAAAGUUGAGGAACAAGUUAAAAACACCAAGAGAGCACAGUUAGAUGAAGCCAACAUGUGGAAUGUUCUACAAGACAACUGGCCUAGUCUCUUCAAAGGAUCAUUGUCACAGAAAGAAGGGGACUGUUCUAGAAUCAAGAGACUAACAAGGGACUUCCCUGGUGGUCCAGUGGUAAAGAAUCCACCUUCCAAUGCAGAGGACACAGGUUCGAUACCUGGUCGGGGAACUAGGAUCCCACAUGCCACGGGGCAACUAAGCCCGUGUACCACAACUAGAGAGAGAAAACCCGCACGCCACAACUAGAGAAAAGCCCGUGCGCCACAACGAAGAGCCCGCGUGCCGCAACGGAGACCCUGCCUGCCGCAAUGAAGACCCAACACAACCAAAAAUAAGAAAGUAAAUAAGUAAAGAUUAAAAAAAGAGAGAGACUAACAAGAUAUAACAGUAAAAGAAAGUGCUUGAUCCUUGAAUCAAUUAAUACUGGCUCUUUAAAAGAACAAUUAGCGGGCUUCCCUGGUGGCGCAGUGGUUGAGAGUCCGCCUGCCGAUG
This is an RNA transcript of Globicephala melas (long-finned pilot whale), 5141 nucleotides long. It is a transcript of the gene named neuraminidase 1, with no coding region annotated. The record is from RefSeq and is a predicted model, not a curated record. NCBI's taxonomy places the organism in Eukaryota, Metazoa, Chordata, Mammalia, Artiodactyla, Delphinidae.